CCUGUGGAUCAACAUUUCCUGACCUGUGUCAAAAUAAAAUGCUAGGGAAUCACACAUUCUACAAAAUGAAACAAAAGUAUCAUUAAGGUGAGAAAGGAAGGAAAGACAAGUCCUGUCAAAAAUCCAAAGCCACCAGAAACUAAUAAAUAUCCACACAGUUAAUAAACAAAGAAGAAGAACUGCAUCAUAAAUAUUAAAUGGACCCACUACAUCAUGGCCAGACAUGCCAUUGGUCUUCAAGACAAGAACUUCUUAGAUGAAAAUUUGCUUCAAAAUUAGAAUAGCACAUAACUAAGAUUCAAGAGGAAGCGAUAGAGAGGAAACAAGAGAUUAGCAACCUCCCAUGAGGAAAUAAUAGUCUGCCCAUAAAAUACAGAUCCUUUUAGACCAGUUUCUCAACAUUUAAGUUUCACCAUCAACAAUGAUUUUCUCCUGCAUUUUCUGUUGCUUGUAACGUACGACAGUAACAUCAACUUACAACUGCCUUUUUGCUAGAUGAAACCCAAAAAUUCUAAAGCCUGCCAGGGUGUUGCCAAAACAACAAACUUAAAUGUGCAAGAGUCUCAGUUCUAUCAGCCAGAAGCUAAUCAGAUAAACCAACAAAUUUAAUUUAAGAAAACAAUAGUAAGAUUAUCAUAAUACCAUAACUGGCAGUCUUAAGAAGUGUAAAAAAACAUAAAUUCUACGCCUUCUCCAAGAAUUAACACAGCAUAGGCACCAUAAAAAACCUCGAUAUACAAAAAUUGCUUGAUUUUUGUUUGAAGAAAUAUCUGAAAACAAUCCCUGAAGAAAUAACUGCAUAAAUGCUCAAUAACAAAUGGAGGCCAAAUCCAAAUCCAAAAACACCCCCUUAUUCAUUUUUUAUCAAUAUCCUUCCUUUUAGCAUACCCUAUGCUCUAGGUUCCUCCCUACUGGAGCCAUGAUUCUUACUGCAUACAUCAUCCCCAACCUUUGCAAAUGAUAUACACUAACAUCCAUUGGCCUCAUAAAGCACUAGCAAAAGCCACUUUGUAUCAACCAAGGUUUUUAAAUCUAACCCGAUCAUCGAACCAAUGAAAGUAGAGUGUUAAAAGUUUAAAAUUCAAUUGGAGUCAAACUGGGGUUUAACCUGUAUCAUAUUUAAUCAAUAUUAAUUAUAUAACAAUUAACAAUCUCUUAAAAAAUAAUCAUGUAUUAUUACAAUUAGUAGUUUGAUAUAUUUUAUAAAUAAUAAUUAAAUUAAAUCGAGUUAAAUUUCAAAAUGUAAAUUUUUUUCCUAAUAAGUAAUUUAAAAUUUUUAAUUGGAUUUUUAGAUUUUAAAUAGUA
RNAcentral lists this unclassified non-coding RNA (1305 nucleotides) under Hevea brasiliensis (rubber tree). The record is from RNAcentral. Lineage: Eukaryota; Viridiplantae; Streptophyta; Magnoliopsida; Malpighiales; Euphorbiaceae.